This is a long non-coding RNA of Ornithodoros turicata, 615 nucleotides long. RefSeq lists it as uncharacterized. The transcript is spliced from 2 exons. The record is from RefSeq and is a predicted model, not a curated record. Lineage: Eukaryota; Metazoa; Arthropoda; Arachnida; Ixodida; Argasidae.
CGUGUAGGCGUGGUUUCAUUGCAUGUUUCCGGUUGUUGCUGCCCUGCUCUGGGGUCAGGGGACAAAACAUCUAGAGAAAUGUCCUCAAGUCGUUGUGUUUUGGGAUCUGGGCUUUCCUGCUGACACUCCUGAAAUGGUAGUAGGAACUGUCGCUGCUCACAGGAAUUGGAAUGCAUUGUUUCGCAGUGGGCUAUAGUCACAAAAGCAAUUUGUCUGUGUUUUCAUGUUUUUCAGCAGCAGAAGAACCUGACAGCAGAAAGCAGCAGGAAUAAGAAAUGACAUACAGACAUAUACUCACUGCUUUCCGCUUUUGUGGCAGCUUACAGUAGGGAUGGUCCUCAUGGUCAAACACGCAGUGGAACAGCUGGAGAAGGGACGGCGGGCUCUGCUUGCUCAGCACUGGCUUCAAGCAUUUCCUGGAAAACAUGCAGUGAAGGCAGUCAUACAGGGGGGUGGCUGCACAAACUACUAUGUACUUACCAGGGAAACUGUGUCAGCACCACUUUCAUCUCUUUCAUCUGGCUGGCUGGCUGUUACUUGGCUCUAAAAAAGUUCUUCCAUUAUUAUCUCCUUUUGUAUCAUUUUAAAAGUAAUAAAGAAUAACCGGAUACCUCA